GAUGAACGCUGGCGGUAUGCUAAACACAUGCAAGUCGAACGAAGUUUUCGGACUUAGUGGCGGACGGGUGAGUAACGCGUAAGAAUCUACCUAUAGGUUCGGGACAACAGUUAGAAAUGACUGCUAAUACCGGAUGUGCCUUCGGGUGAAAGUUUUAAUGCCUGUAGAUGAGCUUGCGUUCGAUUAGCUAGAUGGUGAGGUAAUGGCUCACCAUGGCGACGAUCGAUAACUGGUCUGAGAGGAUGACCAGUCACACUGGGACUGAGACACGGCCCAGACUCCUACGGGAGGCAGCAGUGGGGAAUUUUCCGCAAUGGGCGAAAGCCUGACGGAGCAAUACCGCGUGAGGGACGAAGGUCUGUGGAUUGUAAACCUCUUUUGUUGGGGAAGAUAAUGACGGUACCCAACGAAUAAGCAUCGGCUAACUCCGUACCAGCAGCCGCGGUAAGACGGAGGAUGCAAGCGUUAUCCGGAAUUAUUGGGCGUAAAGCGUACGUAGGCUGUUUCAUAAGUCUGUUGUCAAAGCGCGAGGCUCAACCUUGUAAAGGCAAUGGAAACUGCGAGGCUAGAGAGAGAUAGGGGCAGGAGGAACUCCAGGUGUAGCGGUGAAAUGCGUAGAUAUCUGGAAGAACACCAGUGGCGAAAGCGUCCUGCUGGAUCUCAACUGACGCUGAAGUACGAAAGCUAGGGGAGCGAAUGGGAUUAGAUACCCCAGUAGUCCUAGCCGUAAACGAUGGGUACUAGGUGUUGGUCG
This 754-nucleotide ribosomal RNA is filed under the name uncultured cyanobacterium. RNAcentral describes it as "bacterial SSU rRNA". It matches the Rfam family "Bacterial small subunit ribosomal RNA", at positions 28 to 829 of the family's 1533-position model. Lineage: Bacteria; Bacillati; Cyanobacteriota. The record is from RNAcentral.